Molecule: ribosomal RNA, 189 nt
Filed under: uncultured Staphylococcus sp.
Lineage: Bacteria; Bacillati; Bacillota; Bacilli; Caryophanales; Staphylococcaceae
Description: partial 16S ribosomal RNA
Rfam family: Bacterial small subunit ribosomal RNA
Source: RNAcentral
GGGAAACCGGAGCUAAUACCGGAUAACAUGUUGAACCGCAUGGUUCAACAGUGAAAGACGGUCUUGCUGUCACUUAUAGAUGGAUCCGCGCCGCAUUAGCUAGUUGGUAAGGUAACGGCUUACCAAGGCAACGAUGCGUAGCCGACCUGAGAGGGUGAUCGGCCACACUGGAACUGAGAUACGGCCCAG